This 20-nucleotide ribosomal RNA is filed under the name Verruciconidia persicina. RNAcentral's name for it is "Acremonium persicinum partial 28S ribosomal RNA". Lineage: Eukaryota; Fungi; Ascomycota; Sordariomycetes; Hypocreales; Bionectriaceae. The record is from RNAcentral.
GGUGACCUCAGAUCAGGUAA